AGGAAGCUGGUUUCAUAUGGUGGUUUAGAUUUAACUACUUAUUGUCUAGCACCAUUUGAAAUCAGUGUUCU
Alligator mississippiensis (American alligator) is the source of this 71-nucleotide non-coding RNA. NCBI's taxonomy places the organism in Eukaryota, Metazoa, Chordata, Crocodylia, Alligatoridae. The record is from Rfam.